This 549-nucleotide ribosomal RNA is filed under the name uncultured bacterium. RNAcentral describes it as "bacterial SSU rRNA". It matches the Rfam family "Bacterial small subunit ribosomal RNA", at positions 355 to 895 of the family's 1533-position model. The record is from RNAcentral.
UAGGGAAUCUUCGGCAAUGGACGGAAGUCUGACCGAGCAACGCCGCGUGAGUGAAGAAGGUUUUCGGAUCGUAAAGCUCUGUUGUAAGAGAAGAACGAGUGUGAGAGUGGAAAGUUCACACUGUGACGGUAUCUUACCAGAAAGGGACGGCUAACUACGUGCCAGCAGCCGCGGUAAUACGUAGGUCCCGAGCGUUGUCCGGAUUUAUUGGGCGUAAAGCGAGCGCAGGCGGUUAGAUAAGUCUGAAGUUAAAGGCUGUGGCUUAACCAUAGUAGGCUUUGGAAACUGUUUAACUUGAGUGCAAGAGGGGAGAGUGGAAUUCUAUGUGUAGCGGUGAAAUGCGUAGAUAUAUGGAGGAACACCGGUGGCGAAAGCGGCUCUCUGGCUUGUAACUGACGCUGAGGCUCGAAAGCGUGGGGAGCAAACAGGAUUAGAUACCCUGGUAGUCCACGCUGUAAACGAUGAGUGCUAGGUGUUAGACCCUUUCCGGGGUUUAGUGCCGUAGCUAACGCAUUAAGCACUCCGCCUGGGGAGUACGACCGCAAGGUU